RNAcentral lists this ribosomal RNA (118 nucleotides) under Pogona vitticeps (central bearded dragon). The record is from RNAcentral. Lineage: Eukaryota; Metazoa; Chordata; Lepidosauria; Squamata; Agamidae.
UGUAGCUGCCAUAUCACUCUGAAUAUGCCGAUGUUAUCUGGUUUCAGAAGCUAAGCAGGGUGCAACUUGGUUAGCCGUUGGAUGGGAGACGAGUAGAGAUCUCAAAGUAGGGUUAGGA